CUGACACCCUCAUGCAGCCCAUCCGCAAAGUUCAGUGCGCGACCCACUUCUAAAAGGUCAGAGGAAAGGCAUGGAACAACCCAGAUGUUGUGGUGGAUGACCUCUUAACGCCCUGCUCUCCAAAUGACCCAGGCACAAUCCAGAUGACCUGGGUGGAUGCAGCGAGCGAUAAACUCCUGGAGCCGAUAGUCAGCUUGGAGGACAUGUUGAGGUCGCUUGAGAAAACCAAGCCCACUGUGAACGAGGAGGAUCUGGAGAAGCUGAAGCAGUUCACUGAGGACUUUGGCCAGGAGGGAUGAAUUUUUGCAGGAUUCACGUGGCAUUUAUUUAUUUUUUUCCAUCAUGUUUACAAAGCUCCCUCUCCAUAUUUUAUUUUUCAAAUUCUUUGAUCAGUCUUUAACCCUGAGAUUUUUUGGGAGGUGUAACAAUUUUGUGAGCCUUAAUAUUAUCCUGAACAUAACCAUUCAGAUCAGAUAUCCAUUCAUUAUUACUAAAAGUCCUCUUAAUUUUAAAUGGUUUGUUGCAAAUGGGUCAUGAUAUUUUUACUUGGACUUUUGAGAGAGAUUAAAAAAAAAAAGAUCAUUUGUAUUUAAGUUGGUCACUUGUGCCUUAAUAUCUGGUUACUUUUGUACCUUAUUGCCAAAUAAGACUUAAAAACGACUGGUCUUAAAACCACUAACUUUAAAGCGAAUAAAUACAAAGACAACCAGUGAGCUGUGAAAAAGUGUUUACAAAUAUGUGAAUACAUGUUUUGGGUGUGUAGACCUCUUUCUUUGUCGCCUUUGAAGUGUUUAUUAUUUUUCUACUUUCGUCAGUAAAUGAAAUGUUUAAACUACC
Sinocyclocheilus grahami is the source of this 837-nucleotide long non-coding RNA. RefSeq lists it as uncharacterized. The transcript is spliced from 3 exons. Lineage: Eukaryota; Metazoa; Chordata; Actinopteri; Cypriniformes; Cyprinidae. The record is from RefSeq and is a predicted model, not a curated record.